GCACCGGUAGCUCAGUUGGUUAGAGCGCUAGUUUGUGGAACUAGAUGUCGGCAGUUCGAGCCUGCCCCGGUGUACCA
RNAcentral lists this transfer RNA (77 nucleotides) under Candidatus Pelagibacter sp. RNAcentral describes it as "tRNA-His". It matches the Rfam family "tRNA". From Rfam's summary of the family: Transfer RNA (tRNA) molecules are approximately 80 nucleotides in length. The record is from RNAcentral. Lineage: Bacteria; Pseudomonadati; Pseudomonadota; Alphaproteobacteria; Candidatus Pelagibacterales; Candidatus Pelagibacteraceae.